This 528-nucleotide ribosomal RNA is filed under the name Triticum aestivum (bread wheat). RNAcentral's name for it is "partial small subunit ribosomal RNA". The record is from RNAcentral. Lineage: Eukaryota; Viridiplantae; Streptophyta; Magnoliopsida; Poales; Poaceae.
AUGUCGGGUUGGUUCGGGGGGAAGACGGACGCCAAGGACGAGGAGGCCGCCAAGACGGGGCCGUCCGUCCAGGACCGCGCCAUCGAGGCGAAGGACCAGACCAUCAGCUUCAUCGGCGAGAAAAGCGAGGCCGUCACCAAGGCGGCCUCGGACACCGCCGACGCGGCCAUGAAGAUGGGCGGCGACGCCAUGGGGAAGGCCUCCGAGACGGGGCAGGCCAUCACGGACCGCGCCAUCGAGAGCAAGGACCAGACGUUCGGCUUCUUCGGAGAGAAGACGGAGGCUGCCAAGAAGAUGGCCGUCGACACCGGCGACGCUGCCAAGCAGAAGUCCGCCGAGGCCGCAAAGUGUGUCGAGGAGACCGCGGCGAAGUUCACCGGGGAACCCGCCGCCCCCAAGGAGCCCACCGGCAACAUGUUCCAGCAGGCCGGCGGGCAGGUGAUGGGUGCCGCUACUGGCGCCAGGGACGCCGUCAUGAACACGCUCGGGAUGGGAGGAGACAAAGCCGACACCGGCACCGCCAAAUGA